Molecule: long non-coding RNA, 6802 nt
Filed under: Brassica napus (rape)
Lineage: Eukaryota; Viridiplantae; Streptophyta; Magnoliopsida; Brassicales; Brassicaceae
Description: long non-coding RNA (BNAP_LNC003074)
Source: RNAcentral
UGUAUGGUAACGAAGCUGUUGAAGUCCCACACACUCGGUGUACUUUAUUAUAAUAUAUACGGCACAGAAUUGCCACAUUAUGAUGAUCAUGAAGUUUGUGAUCGUUAGAGGAAAUUAAUGAACCUCCUUUUUUCCAAUUAUUAAUUUAGUUUCUAUAUUUGUUUUCAUUUACUUUUGUUGAUUUUAUUUUUUUAACUUUUGUUAUAUAGCCACCAGAUAAAAUAAUGGGAAAAAAUUGCAUAAGAUUUGAUGUGGGUAUUUGUGAAACAAUCAUGUUAUAUACAAAAUUGUUUUCAUUAAAAAAAAAAGAAACAAUCAUGUUAUAUACAAAAGUCUGUACACUUUGGUAUGAUAUUUAUUUAUGUAGCAGCAAGAUUUUGGGACAUACAAUCUCUAUGUUCUUAUAUAUUGCUCAAUAAGCUAGUUUGAAAUCAAUUUGGCAUAAUAUAUAUAUAGCGCAGGUGGCACACCAUACAUGUAUGAGAACUUACAUGAUCUGCUAUUAGCAUGAUAUAUUCUUGAAAAUACAUGUGCCUAUACUACUAACACAUGCAUAUAGCACACUGAUUUUUUUUUUCAAAAAAGGUUAUUGUUGUCAUCGUCAAGACAUGCCACUUGAAACCUUCUAGCUGGUUCGGAAGUGCUUGUUGGUAGUUGAGAUGAAUGGAAUGGGAUGGUGUGGUAGGUGAGCUGGGAGCAUGUAGUUGAAGAUAUAAUAGCACGUGACGUGAGGUAACAUUGAUACGUGCGAAAUUAAGUUGGUGGAUGAUCCACUUUCCAACAAUAAAAAAACAUGAUGUUUCUCUUCCUCUUUCAACUACUUUUUUCUUCUCUUCUUGUUGUGUGUUUCUCUCCACCUCAUAAAUUAAUCUUAUUAUUAUUAUUAAGUCGGGCUACGGAAAUUACUCCAUCUGUUCCUAAAAAUAAAAAUUUUUAGAUUUAUUUUUUGUUCAAAAAUAAUAAUUUUAUAAAAUUUUAAAGUAUUUUUAGUAGUUAAUGUUGAAAAGUUGUAUACUUUAAAAAAAACACUAAUUGAAAAUAUUUGAAUUGUUUGAAUAUUAUUGGUUGAUAUUUAUUAGAAAAUAUAUGUAAAAUAAAUAAUAAAUUCAAUUGUAAAUAUUUAUUAUAUUCUUAAUAUAUAUGAAUACUCUAGAAAAUCAAUCUUCGUAAAACUAUUAAAGUGUAGUAAUAAAGAAGGGGUUAUGAAUUGCAUAAACGAAAAUAUGCCACGUUAAGUUUAUAGGAACCGAUCAUCGGUGUUCAUUGACAUGGUAGCUAGUACCACCAUUUUCUUUCUUUUUGAUUUUAUUCACCAACAUUAAUGAUGUUUUGAUCGUCGACAAUACCUCUUACUUCUCCAAACUUAUCUUAGUUCCAAGAAUAAUCUUUUCAACCAUUUUUUUAUUUCUUCUUAUUCUUCACAAUUGAUUUUAUUAAAGUCUAAACAUUCAUUAUAAUGUGAGAUAUUAUCUUUAGUAAUAUACGAAAUAUCCAUAUCUUCUCUCUCAUUGACUUGGUCCCUUGUCUUCAUCUUCCUCGCUUAGUGUAUUGACCCCAUUGUCUUUGUUUACUCGCAUAGGAUUGCUGAAACUAGAAUCCAUGUCACAUGUGCACUGGUCUACGAGAAGAUGCCAACAGGAAGGAUACACAAGGGAGUGUGUUCGACUUGGAUGAAGGUAAACAUAUCUCAUUGUGAUCUUUUUGCCAUUUUUUAUCAUUUUAAUCUAAAAUUUUGCUUUUGCGUUGUAAUGACAGAGUGCUGUGCCUUAUGAGAAGAGUGAAAACUGUUGCUCAGCACCGAUAUUUGUUAGGCAAUCCAACUUCAAGCUUCCUUCUGAUUCUAAAGUACCGAUUAUAAUGAUCGGUCCAGGGACAGGAUUGGCUCCUUUCAGAGGUUUCCUUCAGGAAAGGCUUGCGUUGGUAGAAUCUGGUGUUGAACUUGGACCAUCAGUUUUGUUCUUUGGAUGCAGAAACCGCAGAAUGGUAAUAAAACCAUUCUCAAAAACUCUUAUCAAAAUCAUCUGUUAGUUCAGUUUCUCUAACUCUUCUUGUAUUUGCAGGACUUCAUCUACGAGGAAGAGCUCCAGAGGUUUCUAGAGAGUGGUGCACUCUCAGAGCUAAGCGUGGCCUUCUCUCGUGAAGGACCAACCAAAGAGUAUGUACAGCACAAGAUGAUGGACAAGGUAUGAGUCUAAUAACCAGAUCUUUGCAUAGUUUCUCAGAUUCUUGGGCUGACAAUUAUUUGCAAUGCAGGCUUCUGAUAUAUGGAACAUGAUCUCUGAAGGAGCUUAUGUAUAUGUUUGUGGUGACGCCAAAGGCAUGGCAAGAGACGUUCACAGAUCUCUCCACACAAUAGCUCAAGAACAGGUUCGUUUGAGACCCAAAAACAUGAGUUCUCAUCACAUCACAAACAGAGUGUUUAUUGAUUAUGUCUUGUCUUUGUUUUUCAGGGAUCAAUGGAUUCGACGAAAGCAGAGAGCUUUGUGAAGAAUCUGCAAAUGAGUGGAAGGUAUCUUAGAGAUGUAUGGUAACGAAGCUGUUGAAGUCCCACACACUCGGUGUACUUUAUUAUAAUAUAUACGGCACAGAAUUGCCACAUUAUGAUGAUCAUGAAGUUUGUGAUCGUUAGAGGAAAUUAAUGAACCUCCUUUUUUCCAAUUAUUAAUUUAGUUUCUAUAUUUGUUUUCAUUUACUUUUGUUGAUUUUAUUUUUUUAACUUUUGUUAUAUAGCCACCAGAUAAAAUAAUGGGAAAAAAUUGCAUAAGAUUUGAUGUGGGUAUUUGUGAAACAAUCAUGUUAUAUACAAAAUUGUUUUCAUUAAAAAAAAAAGAAACAAUCAUGUUAUAUACAAAAGUCUGUACACUUUGGUAUGAUAUUUAUUUAUGUAGCAGCAAGAUUUUGGGACAUACAAUCUCUAUGUUCUUAUAUAUUGCUCAAUAAGCUAGUUUGAAAUCAAUUUGGCAUAAUAUAUAUAUAGCGCAGGUGGCACACCAUACAUGUAUGAGAACUUACAUGAUCUGCUAUUAGCAUGAUAUAUUCUUGAAAAUACAUGUGCCUAUACUACUAACACAUGCAUAUAGCACACUGAUUUUUUUUUUCAAAAAAGGUUAUUGUUGUCAUCGUCAAGACAUGCCACUUGAAACCUUCUAGCUGGUUCGGAAGUGCUUGUUGGUAGUUGAGAUGAAUGGAAUGGGAUGGUGUGGUAGGUGAGCUGGGAGCAUGUAGUUGAAGAUAUAAUAGCACGUGACGUGAGGUAACAUUGAUACGUGCGAAAUUAAGUUGGUGGAUGAUCCACUUUCCAACAAUAAAAAAACAUGAUGUUUCUCUUCCUCUUUCAACUACUUUUUUCUUCUCUUCUUGUUGUGUGUUUCUCUCCACCUCAUAAAUUAAUCUUAUUAUUAUUAUUAAGUCGGGCUACGGAAAUUACUCCAUCUGUUCCUAAAAAUAAAAAUUUUUAGAUUUAUUUUUUGUUCAAAAAUAAUAAUUUUAUAAAAUUUUAAAGUAUUUUUAGUAGUUAAUGUUGAAAAGUUGUAUACUUUAAAAAAAACACUAAUUGAAAAUAUUUGAAUUGUUUGAAUAUUAUUGGUUGAUAUUUAUUAGAAAAUAUAUGUAAAAUAAAUAAUAAAUUCAAUUGUAAAUAUUUAUUAUAUUCUUAAUAUAUAUGAAUACUCUAGAAAAUCAAUCUUCGUAAAACUAUUAAAGUGUAGUAAUAAAGAAGGGGUUAUGAAUUGCAUAAACGAAAAUAUGCCACGUUAAGUUUAUAGGAACCGAUCAUCGGUGUUCAUUGACAUGGUAGCUAGUACCACCAUUUUCUUUCUUUUUGAUUUUAUUCACCAACAUUAAUGAUGUUUUGAUCGUCGACAAUACCUCUUACUUCUCCAAACUUAUCUUAGUUCCAAGAAUAAUCUUUUCAACCAUUUUUUUAUUUCUUCUUAUUCUUCACAAUUGAUUUUAUUAAAGUCUAAACAUUCAUUAUAAUGUGAGAUAUUAUCUUUAGUAAUAUACGAAAUAUCCAUAUAUUUUGUGUAGUAAUAUACGAAAUAUCCAUAUAUGUUUUACCAAAAAAAGAAAAGAAAUAUCCAUAUAUUUUAUUUAUACCUGUAUUGAUUUUUCCUGAGAAAAAAAAAGGAAUUUUUUUUAUUUCAAUAUGUGAAAAUCCUAGGAAUAGUAUGAUUUGUUACCCGUUGACCAAAGUAAGUGUAGAAUUUUAUUUACUCGAUAAAGAUGAUACCACAGAAAUAAAAAAAAUCAAGUAGACAUUGGUAGGUAAUCCACGUGUAAAUGAUUUCCCAUGAUCGUAUAUUUGUAUGAUUGAUUUCAGUACUUCACAAUCACAUGUUUGUCAACGUCACGACCUCGACCUGACAUGGAAUUUUGACUUAGAAUAAUUAAAGAGUUAAAUGUGAAUUCUUAUUCAACGGACCGUAGUUUUUCUUGACCUAGUAUAAUUAAAAACAUAAUUCAACUCAAACGAUUUUUCCUUUUUAUAUAACCUCAACUUUCUCAAAUAACAAGUAGACAGUAAAAUUUACUUAUACUGUAAAACUAUUCUACAAUACUGUAUUCGUCAUGGCUAAAGUAGCACGUGGUUUUUAACACUAAUCGAAAUGGGUCAUUUAGUUUCUCUGAAUGUGGCCAGUAGAUUCCUCAUAUGUAUUUUGGGCCGCAAUUUAAGGCCUGGAAACGAUGGUUAUAAGAAACGACAAGCAUUCUAUCCUUAGCUACAGAAAAUCGGCAAGGGGUUUUGGUUUCUCAAAGAACUAAACGGCUUGUGGCUUUCUUUAGUUUCAAGGUAUCAAAGAUUCAACAACAGCUAAAAAAGCUGAAAUCUCACAAGUUGGGUUAAGAUGCUCAUAGAAUACAACAAGACAGGGGAUUCCUAAGCCCACCAGCACAGGCUAGUCUUGUUCAGCGUCUCCCAGUUCUUCAUCUUCUGACACACCUCGGACAUACAAAACGUUGUUGCAUCUGUUUGAUCAAAACCAGUAAAUUAAAACCAAGAGAUCCAAAAAAGUUAACACAACUAACAGAGGUUAAAAUGAUGAAUGUGUGUUCAGUUAACAGCCAGGUCCAGUUCUCAAGUCUCAUCAACUAAUGACACUUCAAUUUUGUAAGUGGUAACUUUGAGAAUGAAGUAAGACAAAAGAGGUUGUAUAUUACCUGAUCAAGAUCUCUCCGAGGUUUCCUGUCAAUUGUCCAUCGAUGUAUUCUUCAGUGUUUCCAAGCUGCGAAACAGUAGCUAAACUCAAAUGACUAAACUGAAAAGAAUGAAUUAUUUUUUUAUCACUCAGUCAGUUUUCAGCAUUAGGUUUGACACUGUAACAUCAAUCUUUGUUUAACAUUUACAUGAUUUUAUAAAAUCACAAAUACGUUGUCCCAACUUUCAGAUUUACAGUGUAAAACAAAAUCACAAAUUUACAGUGUAAAUUAAUUUUCAAAAUCUUGUACAAACAAGUUCUUAAAAAAAAAUUGUGUACAAACUAUAUCACCUAGAAUUGUAUCCCGAGCCUCUUGGUGAACAUUAAUUAUUAUUUUGGUCGAACUAUUACAUUAAGGAGUCUUCCACCAUUUAUGUUUUAUAGACCAUGGUGGAGAAAAACGAAAUGAGAAGUUUCAAAAAGAGAGCAUAUAAAUCAAUGACCAAACAGAUCGGCUAGAGCAGGUUCAUAUGUUGUCUCAUUUUCCUCCUUUUAGUGAUAUUGUUACUUAAUUUAAGUUUUACAGUUUACAAAAAAAAUUGAAGUUUUAUAUUUUGCAUUUGAUUGAAGUUUAUGUAUGUGUUUGGGAUUAAAAUCAAUUUUUAAUUUUAGCCCAAAAAAAAACUUAAUGUAAUCAAAGGAAAUUAUAAAAAUAAAACUUGAAACUUCUGUGAUAAAAAAAAAAACUUGAAAUUUCAGUGUUUGAAACGUUUACAGAAUGAAAAGGACCCAGCGUGAGGUUUUUCCCAGACGGAGAGUUUUGAAACAGUGAUGGGAGAAACUCGCGGCGGAUCCGGUCAUUUGUUGCUAUGAAACAGCUGACCAUUCGGCCUUCUCUCGUGAAGGACCAACCAAAGAGUAUGUACAGCACAAGAUGAUGGACAAGGUAUGAGUCUAAUAACCAGAUCUUUGCAUAGUUUCUCAGAUUCUUGGGCUGACAAUUAUUUGCAAUGCAGGCUUCUGAUAUAUGGAACAUGAUCUCUGAAGGAGCUUAUGUAUAUGUUUGUGGUGACGCCAAAGGCAUGGCAAGAGACGUUCACAGAUCUCUCCACACAAUAGCUCAAGAACAGGUUCGUUUGAGACCCAAAAACAUGAGUUCUCAUCACAUCACAAACAGAGUGUUUAUUGAUUAUGUCUUGUCUUUGUUUUUCAGGGAUCAAUGGAUUCGACGAAAGCAGAGAGCUUUGUGAAGAAUCUGCAAAUGAGUGGAAGGUAUCUUAGAGAUGUAUGGUAACGAAGCUGUUGAAGUCCCACACACUCGGUGUACUUUAUUAUAAUAUAUACGGCACAGAAUUGCCACAUUAUGAUGAUCAUGAAGUUUGUGAUCGUUAGAGGAAAUUAAUGAACCUCCUUUUUUCCAAUUAUUAAUUUAGUUUCUAUAUUUGUUUUCAUUUACUUUUGUUGAUUUUAUUUUUUUAACUUUUGUUAUAUAGCCACCAGAUAAAAUAAUGGGAAAAAAUUGCAUAAGAUUUGAUGUGGGUAUUUGUGAAACAAUCAUGUUAUAUACAAAAUUGUUUUCAUUAAAAAAAAAAGAAACAAUCAUGUUAUAUACAAAAGUCUGUACACUUUGGUAUGAUAUUUAUUUAUGUAGCAGCAAGAUUUUG